AAAAAACAAAGGGAAAAUAAUACUACUACUCUAUAGAAGUCAGACGAUAUCUCUUUUAUUUAUUUUAUUUUUGUGUGAAGAAGAUGUUUCUUUUGAGUGAUAGAGAAUCUAUGCUCACCAUCUGUUUGUUCCUUUUCCCAUGACAUGACACCACGCUUUCCUUCACCCCCUUCUUCCCCAAUAAAUAAUUUCAAAAAGUUGUUGAAGUAAACGCUCGCCUCAAUUUUUUUUAUUGCCUUAGCUCGCUCUAUCUCACAAAAAACAAAACACCAAAAAAAAAAGUACAUUUCACCCAAAAAAAAUUUUAAUUUGAUUUUUAUUCCUUAACUAAAAUUACAAUUUUAGAUUUUUAAAAUCAAAUUUUUGUUUUUUCUUUUUGUUGUUUUUAUGCUGGGCGGCGAUGCCUACGCCGGUAACGGCAGCUCGGCAAUGCUUAACGGAAGAAUCGGCGCGCGCGUUAGACGAAGCGGUGGCGGUAGCGCGUAGAAGGAGCCAUGCACAAACAACAUCACUCCACGCGGUGUCGGCGCUGCUUUCCAUACCGUCGUCCACUCUCCGGGACGCGUGUGCACGGGCACGAAGCAUCGCGUACCCGUCCCGACUCCAAUUUCGAGCGUUGGAGCUUUCCGUCGGGGUGUCACUCGACCGUUUACCUUCAUCGAAGACCGUCGAGGACCCUCCGAUCUCCAACUCCUUGAUGGCCGCAAUCAAACGGUCACAAGCCAAUCAACGGCGCCAUCCAGAAAGUUACCAUUUACAGCAGUUACACAGUAACAAUAAUAACAUCAAUAACGCCACCGGUUGUUCCCAAACGGCGGCGCUUUUGAAGGUCGAGCUUAAAUACUUCAUUCUAUCGAUUCUCGAUGAUCCGAUUGUUAGUCGGGUUUUCGGGGAAGCUGGGUUCCGGAGCUGUGACAUAAAGUUAGCUUUAGUUCACCCACCGGUAACUCACGUUUCCUCUCGGUUUUCACGUACCCGUUGCCCGCCUAUAUUUUUGUGUAACUUAACCGAUUCGGUGUCGGGGCAAGUCGGGUUUAAUUUCCCGUUUUCGUGUCAAGAAGAUGGGUUUGAUGAGAAUUGUCGAAGAAUUGGUGAAGUUAUGGUUAAAAAGAGCGGGAAAAGUCCGUUGCUUGUUGGGGUUUGUGCUAUGGAAGCUUUGAGGGGUUUUACAGAGAGCUUAACGAGAGGAAAAUCUGGUUUCUUGGAUGGGGAUUUGGCUGGGUUGAUUGUAAUUUCGAUUGAAAAGGAGGUUAAUGAGUUUGUUACUGAAGGAAAUGAGGAAAAAUUGGGGUUAAAGAUGAAGGAAAUGAAAGGUAUUUUGGAGAAGUGUACUGCGUCUGUAGGAGGAGGAGGAGGAGGAGGAGGAGUGGUUUUAAAUUUUGGGGACUUAAAAGGGUUGUUUUUGGAAGGGGUUUUAAGUGAUUCUGUUAGUUCUUUGGUUUUGAAAUUAACGGGUUUAAUGGAAGUUUAUAGGAGGAAAUUAUGGUUGAUUGGAGCUGUGGAAACUGUUGAAAUUUACAGGAAGUUUUCCGAUAAGUUUCCGAAUAUAGAAAUAGAUUGGGAUUUGCAUUUGUUGCCCAUUACUUCUUCCAAGAGUUCUUUUGAUGGGGCUCACUCCAAAUCCAGCUUGAUGAAGUCCUUUGUUCCAUUUGGUGGCUUCUUUCCUACACCAUCUGAUUUUAGAAGUCCGUUGAGUGGCAGAAACCAAUCCAUCACUCGAUGUAACCUUUGCAACGAGAAGUAUGAACAAGAAGUUGCUGCUAUAUUGAAGGUUGGAUCAACAGUUUCAGUUGCUGAUCAGCAUUCAGAGAACUUACCUUCUUGGUUACGGAUGGCGGCAGUGGACACCAGCAAGGGAGAGGAUGUGGCAAAGACUAAAGAUGGUGAAACCAUGUUAAGUGCUAAAGUUUUGGGGUUGCAGAAAAAAUGGGAUGAUAUAUGCCAACGCCUCCAUCACAUGCCAGCAAUCUACAAGUUAAAUCUUACUCCCGCUGGGCCCCAAGUUCCAAUAGUUGGGGCCCCCCAAUUUGCCACAGAAAAGAAGCAAAGCAGUAGUGAAGAUCCGUCUAUCAAUGAAAGUCGAUUUCCCAGUCAAAGUCCCAGCACACAAAUUCCGCGUACUUCUGAAGCCGAGAAUACGAAUUUCCAGUCCAGGUUACUUGUAGAUGUUUCAAGCUUAGCACAGCAGACAGAUAAGGUUGUGCGUGGGUUUACCCAUCAGCCUCAGCAAAAUCUAAGCGGACGCAAUCCAUCUUUAUUUGUUCCUCCAGUCACCACAGAUUUAAAGUUAGGAACAAUGUAUGCAUCAACCAGUCAGGAAUCAAACAACUUAAAGUCGCUAGAUCAUAAGGAACGUCUUCAACGAGGUUCCAUAUCUGCUGAAUUUGAUGCAAAUACCAAGAAUACUUCAUAUCAAUUUGCCCAAUCUUCGUCAUGCUCUGGUCUUGCAACAGGAGAGCAGUUUGAUCAAGGAGAUUACAAGUCCAUUAGGAAAGUUCUUGAUGAAAAAGUUGGUUGGCAAGAUGAAGCUGUAAAUUCUGUUAGCCAAGCUGUAUCCCAAUUAAGGAGAAGCUAUGGAAGUUGUCGUGGCAUAAGCUGUAAAGGGGAUAUUUGGCUUACUUUCCUUGGACCUGACAGAGUUGGAAAAAGAAGAAUUGCUUCAGCACUUGCUGAGGUACUAUUUGGUAGCCAGGAAUACUUAAUUUCUGUGGAUUUGAGCUCGCAAGAUAAAGGUAGCCAGUCAAACUCAAUUUUUGAAUGCCAAGAGUUAAAUGGUUAUGAUGUGAAGUUUAGAGGGAAAACAGUUUCCGAUUUCAUUGCUGCGGAAGUGAGGAAGAAACCCCAUUCUGUUAUCUUCCUUGAAAAUGUGGAUGAGGCUGAUUAUUACGUUCGACAUAGUUUGGACCAGGCUAUUAGAACAGGUAAAUUUCCUGAUUCACAUGGGAGGGAAAUCGGCAUCAACAAUAUGGUUCUUAUAACAACAUCAACCAUCACCAAAGGCAAUACAACUGUUUUCUUUGAGAAGAAACCCAUGAAAUUCUAUGAGGAAAGAAUACUCGGAGCGAAAAGCUGGCAAAUUCAAAUUGUAGUUGGUUCUAUUUCUGAUGAUGUCAGCAGAAGCAAUGUCACAGGCACCAGAGUUACAAAAAUAAAAGAAGCUUCUGCUUCUGCAUUUGUUAACAAAAGAAAGCUGAUCGAUACUGUUGAGUCUUCUGAGUUGGAAAAGACAGACACAGGAGAACGAGUCUGCAAGGCGUCUAGAUCCUGCCUGGAUUUAAAUCUUCCUGUGGAGGAUACAGACGAGGACUUAAAAUUGGGCGAAUCUGACAGUGAGUCCCUCUCCGAGAACUCAGAAGGUUGGUUGGAGGAAUUCUUGAGCCAAGUAGAUAAAAAGAUACUUUUCAAGCCAUUUGAUUUUGAUGGACUUGCCAAUAAAAUUGUAAAGGAAGUCAGCUCACAAUUUCAGAGGACUGUUGGAUCUGAGGUUCCAUUGGAGAUAGAUCAAGAAGUAAUGGUACAAAUACUUGCAGCUGCAUGGUUGUCAGAAAGAAAGGGAGCGGUAGAAGAUUGGCUUGAAAAAGUGCUUGGAAGAAGCUUUGCUGAGGCUCAGCAGAAGUACCAUCUCACUUCUCAGUCUGUUGUGCAACUAGUUGCAUGUGAAGGUGUUGUUGUGAACGAGCAAGCUCCCGAGUUGACGGGUUACCUUCUUUUCAGCUUGCCUGCAUUGCCUAGAUUCAUUUAUAAUCUUACCUUCCUGGAGUUAAAGAUCGCAUUCAAAGACUGGAAGGGCAAAAUGCUGCUGAUUCUUUGCAAGUUGUCUUGGUGUGAUCAAUUGAUGAAUCGGCCAUAAACUUCCUUCUACACGAACCACUUCAUACGGUACUGGAAAUCCAACCUGGAAUCAUCGAUGUUAUGCAUGGGUCAUAUAUAACAAUAUUUUCACCUGGACAUCUGUUUCCUGUUAAGGCUAUUGAUUCCAGGCGGUUGGGCUUGAUGAAUGUGCUUCUGUUUCAGCUCAAUGGACCUACACUCAUGCUUACAGCGUCAUUGUUUCUUCUGAGUUCAAUUUAACGCUUGCAACUAGGUUCCUGUUAUUUAUCGUCUUGGUUGCGUUAGGUUUAGUGACAGGGAUCAAGGAUGGUUUAGCAAAGAGAAACACUAUGGUAAAAAGUGGAAGACAUCCAAUCCUGACAAUGGCUGCAAAAUGUUUCAUGAUUGCAUACGAGUUUGAACAUUUUGCGAAGGCUCCGAGGUAUCAUCUACUCAUCUCUUUAAACCAUUUACUUGCCUUCUGUAAACAAAAUGCAGGCUUUUGCUUUUCUCAUCCAAAGCUACAAUGUCUGAGGAAUUUCAUCAUUUCUCAAGUUUUUUUAACUGAAGAUUCUUGGACCUUAUGGCUUUGAUGUAGUGGCUACAGAACUGGUCUUUCUCGUUCCAAAUCUUUUUGUUUGAACUUGAAUUGUAAGGAUGACAAUCGG
Non-coding RNA from Durio zibethinus, 4478 nucleotides. The record is from RefSeq and is a predicted model, not a curated record. NCBI's taxonomy places the organism in Eukaryota, Viridiplantae, Streptophyta, Magnoliopsida, Malvales, Malvaceae.